UCAGAGAAUUGAGACUUAGAACACAUUUAGUUGCCUUUGUUAAAUAUGAAAUAUUUCAUUCUCCUAAUCUUUGCCUUGACAAUAAGCGUAUUGGCAGGAGGGGAGAACUUGGAAGAUGUUAUGCCACCAUCUCAGGGAUGAGUGCAGCGCUAAAGCUGUACGCUAAUAAAAAAGUUUUGGGAUGUGUUUUAUUAUGUUCUGUUGGCCUGACUUUUGGAUUUCAAUCUCUAUCUACAAUACACAUUCAACUGUGGUUAGUUCUGCUCUUCGUUAAAUCACGGAAAGCAAAAAAUUGAAUAUCAAUAUCAACAAUUAGCAUCUACUUUAGUGUCAUUUUGUACUCUGCUGUAUAAUAUUUACACAGAGUCAAAAUUGGAUAGUAUCCCAAAGGAAUUCCAAUUCUUUACGGUAUUCCGUUGAAGAUGUUGAAUUUGAUUGAUUUCAUUAUCUUUCAAUACGCACUACAUCUUUAGCUACACUCCCCGCACAGUCGUAAAAGAUGCUCAGUGGUGGAGGAGGUCAUCAAAUGACAGGACGAGACACAUUGAACCCGCAAUUGUUGGCGGCAACAUCAAAUGGCCUCAACAGCUGUCCAAACGAUGCCCGCCCAGGCAUCGGCAAUAAAACGAGAUGAGGCUAAAACAAAAAGCGAAUAUCACGUGGCCUACAUGAAAACAGAAGAAGAAGAAGCCCACGAAAACGGCAAAACCUCACAGUGAUUGACUACGAGUUACCCCAGAGUGCGAAAUGCAAAUUAUCAAUGUUUAGCUAUGAUAUUACAAGUAUCAAAUUUAUAUAGAAUAUGCGCAAACGCAUCAGGAAACCACUUUUUUUUUGUGUACUCAUGACUGACUUUUAUAUUUGAUCGAACUCUGCAAAGAUAAAGAAAUGCUAACUGAUA
Molecule: long non-coding RNA, 901 nt
Organism: Drosophila montana
Lineage: Eukaryota; Metazoa; Arthropoda; Insecta; Diptera; Drosophilidae
Exons: 2
Source: RefSeq, a predicted model, not a curated record